GACGAACGCUGGCGGCGUGCUUAACACAUGCCAGUCGAACGGAAAGGCCCUGCUGGCAGGGUGCUCGAGUGGAGAACGGGUGUGUAACGCGUGGGUGAUCUGCCCCUUACUUUGGGAUAAGCCUGGGAAACUGGGUCUAAUACUGGAGAGGACCAUGCUGUAGGGGGUGUGGUGGAGAGAUUAGUUUCGGUAAGGGAUGAGCUCGCGGCCUGUCAGCUUGUUGGUGGGGUGCUGGCCUACCAAGGCGUGGACGGGUGGACGGCGUGUGAGGGGGGACUGCGACAUAGUGACUGAGAGACGGCGCAGAGUCCUACGGGGGGCAGCAGUGGGGAGUAUUGUACAAUGGGGGCGAGAGUGAUGUAGCGACGCCGCGUGGGGGAUGAGGGCGCUCUCGUUGUAAACACCUUUCUGCCAUGAGGAAGCGCGUGUGGUGACGGUAGUUGUAGAAGAAGCACCGGCUAACUACGUG
This 469-nucleotide ribosomal RNA is filed under the name uncultured bacterium. Its description in RNAcentral is "partial 16S ribosomal RNA". It matches the Rfam family "Bacterial small subunit ribosomal RNA", at positions 28 to 507 of the family's 1533-position model. The record is from RNAcentral.